RNAcentral lists this ribosomal RNA (283 nucleotides) under Cryptococcus ulmi. RNAcentral describes it as "partial 28S ribosomal RNA". Lineage: Eukaryota; Metazoa; Arthropoda; Insecta; Hemiptera; Eriococcidae. The record is from RNAcentral.
AUCUGGGCGGCGGAAUUCAGGGCGAACGCUUCGCGGCGUUGGUCUGAUAUUUCCGUCGUCGGCCCGAUAAGGGCGCGGACGUCGCGAUCCGUUCGAUGUCGGUCCUUGUUCGGAGGAACCGCGUUCGAGUUUGCUGGUUGGUCGAUGCUUCGGCGUUGGUCGGCUGGCGAAGGCGCGGACUUCUGGCCGACUGGUCGGACGGUAUGUGCGAGUGGUGUCCGACGUUGUUACCUUGCGUACGCGACGUCGGUGCCGGUCAGCGACGAUUCUUCGGGCCUCUUUC